Molecule: ribosomal RNA, 119 nt
Filed under: Roseburia sp. CAG:197_41_10
Lineage: Bacteria; Bacillati; Bacillota; Clostridia; Lachnospirales; Lachnospiraceae
Description: partial 23S ribosomal RNA
Rfam family: Bacterial large subunit ribosomal RNA
Source: RNAcentral
UGAGAUAUCCCUCCUUCGGGAGUAAGACCCCUUGAAGACUACAAGGUAGAUAGGGCAGAGGUGGAAGUGUGGCAACACAUGGAGCUGACUGUUACUAAUCGGUCGAGGGCUUAAUCAAG